CCUACGGGGAGCAGCAGUGGGGAAUAUUGGACAAUGGGCGAAAGCCUGAUCCAGCCAUGCCGCGUGUGUGAAGAAGGCCUUCGGGUUGUAAAGCACUUUCAGUGGGGAAGAAAGCCUUGGGGCUAAUACCCUCGAGGAAGGACAUCACCCACAGAAGAAGCACCGGCUAACUCCGUGCCAGCAGCCGCGGUAAUACGGAGGGUGCGAGCGUUAAUCGGAAUUACUGGGCGUAAAGCGCGCGUAGGCGGUCUGAUAAGCCGGUUGUGAAAGCCCCGGGCUCAACCUGGGAACGGCAUCCGGAACUGUCAGGCUAGAGUGCAGGAGAGGAAGGUAGAAUUCCCGGUGUAGCGGUGAAAUGCGUAGAGAUCGGGAGGAAUACCAGUGGCGAAGGCGGCCUUCUGGACUGACACUGACGCUGAGGUGCGAAAGCGUGGGUAGCAAACAGGAUUAGAUACCCCUAUAGUC
This 465-nucleotide ribosomal RNA is filed under the name Vreelandella stevensii. RNAcentral describes it as "partial 16S ribosomal RNA". It matches the Rfam family "Bacterial small subunit ribosomal RNA", at positions 338 to 795 of the family's 1533-position model. The record is from RNAcentral. Lineage: Bacteria; Pseudomonadati; Pseudomonadota; Gammaproteobacteria; Oceanospirillales; Halomonadaceae.